AUUGAACGCUGGCGGCAGGCCUAACACAUGCAAGUCGAGCGGAUGAAGGGAGCUUGCUCCUGGAUUCAGCGGCGGACGGGUGAGUAAUGCCUAGGAAUCUGCCUGGUAGUGGGGGAUAACGUCCGGAAACGGGCGCUAAUACCGCAUACGUCUUGAGGGAGAAAGUGGUGGAUCUUCGGACCUCACGCUAUCAGCUGAGCCUAGGUCGGAUUAGCUAGUUGGUGGGGUAAAGGCCUACCAAGGCGACGAUCCGUAACUGGUCUGAGAGGAUGAUCAGUCACACUGGAACUGAGACACGGUCCAGACUCCUACGGGAGGCAGCAGUGGGGAAUAUUGGACAAUGGGCGAAAGCCUGAUGCAGCAAUGCCGCGUGUGUGAAGAAGGUCUUCGGAUUGUAAAGCACUUUAAGUUGGGAGGAAGGGAAGUAAGAGAAUACAUUGAUGUUUUGACGUUACCAACAGAAAAAGCAACGGCUAACUUCGUG
This 484-nucleotide ribosomal RNA is filed under the name uncultured bacterium. RNAcentral's name for it is "partial 16S ribosomal RNA". It matches the Rfam family "Bacterial small subunit ribosomal RNA", at positions 30 to 507 of the family's 1533-position model. The record is from RNAcentral.